RNAcentral lists this long non-coding RNA (30705 nucleotides) under Citrus x clementina. Its description in RNAcentral is "Citrus clementina (C. clementina) long non-coding RNA (CCLE_LNC004380)". Lineage: Eukaryota; Viridiplantae; Streptophyta; Magnoliopsida; Sapindales; Rutaceae. The record is from RNAcentral.
AAAGAUACUGCUCUGAUAUAAGCACCACUAUAUAUCAUCGGAAGAUUCCAGGCAUAAGUCUGCAAUUCUUAAGAUUCUUACAUGGUCUAUUCAGUAUCUCAAAUGAUAGAGCUAUUAGAAACACAACGACCCUAGCAUAGCAGGUUAUACCACAGUAUUCAUAGAACUUAUUUCUUAUUUUCAGUUCCACGCACAAUCUUAAUGGCAAGGCCCUUCAGAGUUUUUGUACCAAACUCUUUAGUUAUCCGAAAUAAACUUAUACUAGCCUUGACCAUGUUGAAUUCUCAGGGAAUCCAGCUGAGAUUUUCCCCUAAGCUCACGAGCAUACCGGCUCCUAAAGUAUUCUUCAAUUCUCAUUCUUCUAAACAAAGGAGGAGUUUUUUCAGAGAUCAAACUGGAGGCAGGAUACACUUCACCAUCAUAUCUCACUGAGUAAACUGUGGCAACGGAAAGUCUUUCCUGUACAGAGUUUACAACUGCACGAUGCUCAAUGCUACGGUAUGUCCCAUUGGUUAUAAUCUGCCAUGUAAAAAUUAUUAAAGCACAUAAGCAAGCGCAUAAAAAUGCCAGGUUAAGGUAAUUUAUUAUAAUUAUUACCUCCAAUGUGUCUCCAAUGUUGACAAUGAAAGCAUCCGGGAGUGGGGUAACAGGAAUCCACUUUCCAUCCUUCUUUACCUGGAGACCCUCCACUUCAUUAAGUUGUAGCAGAAUGGUAAGUGCAGCUGCAUCAGAAUGUGGCGACAGGCCCAUAACCUUCUCGGGCUGAGGACAUGGAGGGUAAUAAUUCAUCCUCAUUGCUUGCACUCCAUUUUCAAAGAAUUCUCUCAUUUCUUCAUCUUUGAUAUUUAACACUUCUCCCAUUUUCGAUAUUAGGUUCUCGGCUAGGGAUUUUAAUUCCAUUGAGUAAACUUCCAAGGUCUCUCUACAGGAAAAGAAGAUGCACUAUCCUUUAUUUGUUUGCAAAUCAAAAUGACAUUGACAUAGAGAGAGAGAGAGAGAGAGAGAGAGAGAGAACCUGAGGGAAGGAGGGAGCUUAGGAAAUAAGUGUGGCUUCCUCAGAUGAACUGGAAGAGUCAGCAUGGAGAAAAGGUCAGCCCAAUCAAGCUUUUGUUCCUCAGAUACAACAAAGGCUUGUCCAAAGCCUUCCAUAUCUCCUGGAUGCUGCCAAUAUUUUUUCUUUUCUUCCAUGCUGAGAUUGAAGAAUCCCUCAACCUCUUUCUUUAAUUUCUCUAGAAAUGCUGUGCUCAUUCCAUGAUUUACCAGCUGAAAAAAAUACAGGAACGAAAUGCAGCAAAGAUUUAAUAAUCGUGCCACUAAGCUCACAAUAGUCCAGGUGUUUUAUGAAGACAGAUUGCAACUUAUCUGACUGAUUUAGAGAUAAGAUUUACCAUCAAAGAUAGCUAAAAGCAUUUGUUACAUUUAAAUCUUCUCAACAAUUAGUUUCCACAGGUGUUUUUUAUUCAUUCUAUCGGAGAAAUUUCGGUUAUUCUAGAAUAACUAUAACGAGCAUGAAGUUCUUGUGGUUUGUUCACACCUAGAAUUUGAAAAAUCAUACAACAGCAAAUAAUCUCAAUGUUACUUCGAAUUGUCUUUAAAUUAGAGUAAUUUGCAACAUUGACUACAGAAAUGAGUACAUUUUCUAAGAGGUCUUACACAAUUUACGAUAGUAUAUCUUUUAAAAUUUUGACAGAAGCAUAUUUCUCAUAAGGUACCAAAAGCCAUUGAGGCAGAGGAGGGGAAAUUUCUCAAGACCGUAUUUUUCAUACAUAUUGCGUGUUUGACAUUUAGGAAUGAAAUAGCUAAUUAACCCAUGUCUGGAGGGGGAAAGGUAAAGCAGUAUAGAAAGUCAAUAAUAAAUAAACCAGAGACAAGUUCUUCUUUUCACAAGCUGCAGUCCUAAGCCACUGACAACACCGAAAAGUGAAACCAUGAUCUGCUAACAUCAAUGAUACGUGGGUUUAAGAAAUAAAUAUGAAUUUUAAUUUUGCCUAUUGGAUUGAGAAUUUGCAUAUUUCUCGAUUCUUGUUCACAAACAAGCAUGUUCUGGCGAAACAAUUUUCUAACUUUGCUAAAGCAUUAUACCUGGAAAAAACCCCAUUCUUUGCAUGCGAAGUCGAGCUUGGCUAGCUCAGAAUCCAUUGAUUCUUCAGAAAGUAAGCUUUGCAUGUCAAUAACUGGUAUCUGUGAAAUCAAAGUAUCAUCAGAAAUGAGUGGUGAAUCUUGAUCUGGACGUAUGUAUCUGUCGGGGACAACUAACGCAGGAUUCUUGACCAACUCUUGAACACAAGGCACAAGGAGAGAACUUCCAAUCUGGGCCAUCUUUUGUUCCUCAAAUCCUUUCAAGAUUGCUGCAGCUUUGUAUUGAUUUUGGAACAAGACUGAGUGCCGACAAUCACAAAAGUAAAAAAGAAUCUUUUUCCAAGAAAUUAAUCAGCAUCCUCCACCUAACCAUUCAUGAAGUAUUUUUAAUUUUUUGCACAUGUUUAGAAUGCAUAAUAAAAUAUUCGCAGGUCAAAACUAUCCUCUAUUGAUAAGGAUAACAAAUCAUCAGCCAAUUAAUUAGGGUAAUUUUUAAAAACCUCCCCUGAGGUUUGGGCUUGUUGUAAGUAAAUGAUGAGAAUUGAUUUAUUUGUAAAAAAUUCUCUACCGUCAGUUAAUUUUAACAUUGACUGUUAGUUGACUGUGCAAAGACAAUAUUACCCUUAACAAUAAUUUAUAGACAGAAAUAACUAUAAAAAAAUUAAAAUUAUUAGUUAUUUUACCCUCUUUAAAUUAUUGAUAUUUUCUUAAAGUUCCUACAAGAAAGAUAAAAUUAAAAAUUUUAAAAAUUCUCUUUAAAUUAUUGAUAUUUUCUUAAAGUUUCUACAAAAAAGAUAAAAUUAAAAACUUAAAAAUAAAAUAGUUAUAAUCUUUACUUAUGAUAUUGUAAAUUUUUGGAAUUGACAAGGAUAAAAUUGUCAAAAAAUAGGGUUUGUGCUUUUCGCGCCAACAAUUUUAAUUUUUUUUUUAGUUAUUUCCGUCUACAAACUGUUGUUGAGGGUAAUAUUGUCUUUGCACAGUCAACUAACGGUCAAUGUUAAAAUUAACUGACGGUAGGAGGUUUUUUAUAAAUAAACAGAUUCUCGUCAUCUGCUUGCAACAAGUCCAAACCUCAGGGGAGGUUUUUAAAAAUUAUCCCAAUUAAUUAUUUGUGGUUCCCACCUUGUCAUCAACCCAAAAGGCAAAGGUAUUUUCAAUACUGCGUUUUGUUUUCUUUUUCCCUUUCUAUUUUUCUUUCACAACUUGGCAUUGAUCUCGGAGCAUUUGCUCUUGACUUGUGCGAGUAAUCCACCAUUGCGUGUCUGCAGUUAAAAGGACUUCUUAAAAUUUUUUCUAACACGCUGCAAUCUGGUGCUGUGUUGGAAUUGACUGUGCACUAUUAAGAAAACAGUGGGUUCCAAUUGUAAUCGAUUAGUCAUUUAUACAAUUAUAGCUGUUUAUAUUUAGGCAUUAAUUAUCUUUAUAUUUUUAUCUGAUAACAACCAAUUAAAACCUCAUAUUUUGCUUGCGAAUCCAAGUUCCACUUACGAAAGUAACAUCUGUCUCAUUUUUAAUUAUUGAUAAUUAUUAUUACUAUUAUUAUUAUUUUUUAUUAUUAUUAUUGGUAACAAGUUACAACUUAUGUACUCAUGCAAUGUGUUCUAUGGAGAACAAUGUUGCUACAAGCAAUACAAAAUUUGUUACAAUUUAUUGUCUUGAAUAUUUUCGGUAAAAACUACUUAUUUUAACUACAUGCAUGCUACUGGGGAAGGUUGUAAAACAAAUUAUCACAACAAUCUGCUUAAUGUGACGGAUGGUUAAGCCAAAUGACAACAUAUAACCCAAGCAUGUUGUUAUCUAUUCAACUUCAGUGACAUUGUAACAAAAUAUAUUGUUGAUAAGGAUGUAAUUGGACAAGCAAGCGUUAGAAUGGCAUGCUUAAGUAUUUAAUAUCAUAUUUGAAUCAUCUUUAACUCCGAAAGCAAGUGAAAUAGUUCUUGAAAUCUGAUAAAAACAUGACAAGCCUGCAAAAAUUCUAUUCCAAAAAUGAAAGACACUGAUCCAAAAUAAGCACAAUUAUCAUCAGAAAAUUCCUGGCACAAAUCUGCAACUAUCCAAAAUAAUUAUGCUAGCCUCGACCAUGUUGAAUUCUCAGGUCAUCCAGGUGAGAUUUUCCCCUAAGCUCACGAGCAAAUCGGCUCCUAAAGUAUUCUUCAACCGUCACUCUUCGAAACAAUGCAGGAGUUUUUUCAGAUAUCAAACUGGAUGCUGGAUAUAUUUCACCAUCUAAUCUCUUUGUGUAAAAUGUGGCAAUGGAAAGUCUUUCUUGUAUAGAGUUCACAAUUGCACGAUGCUCAAUGCUACAGUAUGUCCCAUUGGUUAUAAUUUGCAGUGUUAAAAAUAUUAGAGCACAUGAGAAGGGACAUAAAAAUGCCAAGGAAAGUAAUCAUAAUUAUUACCUCUAAUGUGUCUCCGAUGUUGACAAUGAAAGCAUUUGGCAGCGGUGUGAUAGGAAUCCAUUUUCCAUCGUUCUUGAUCUGGAGACCUUCUACUUCAUUGAUUUGUAGCAGAAUGGUAAGAGCAGAGCCAUCAGAAUGAGGGGUGAGGCCCAUAACCUUUUCUGGCUGAGGACAUGGAGGGUAAUAGUUCAUCCUCAUUGAUUGGAAACCAUUGUCAAAGAAUUCUCUCAAUUCUUCAUCUUUGAUAUUUAAAACUUUUCCCAUUUUCGAUAUCAGGUUCAUGGCCAAAGAUUUUAACUCCAUUGAGUAAACUUCCAAGGUGUCUCUACAAGAAAAAAGAAGGUAAAACAUUAGAUAGAAUCAUAGAAGGUUUAAUUUUCUCUUUUUGUUUGCAAAUCCAUAUCAAGCACAAACAGAGAGAACCUGAGGGAAGGAGGGAGCUUAGGAAAUAAGUGUGGCUUCCUCAUAUGAACUGGAAGAGUGAUCAUGGAGAACAUGUCAGCCCAAUCAAGCUUUUGUUCCUCAGAUACAACAAAGGCUUGUCCAAAUCCUUCUACAUCUCCUGGAUGCUGCCAAUAUUUUUUCUUUUCUUCCAUGCUGAGAUUGAAGAAGCCCUUAACCUCUUUCUUCACUUUCUCUAGAAAUGCUGAGCUUACUCCAUGGUUUACCAGCUGAAAUUAUGCAGGAAUGAACAGCAGCUAAGAUUUGAUAAUCGUGCCACUAGGUUCACAACCGUCCAGGCGUUUUAUGAAGACAGAUUGCAACUUAUUUGACUGAUUUAGAGACAAGAUUUGCUGUCAAAGAUGGCUAAAAGCAUUUGUUACAUUUCAACUGAGAACAUUGCUGUUGCAUUAAACACCAAUUUUAUUUUGUUUAUAAAUCUAAUCAAUGAUUGAUUUUUACAAGUGUUUUUUACUCAGUUUUGGAGAAAUUUGAAUAUUCUAGAACAGCUAAUAAUCUGCGGGAGUCUUAUACAAUUUACUAUAUCGUUUAUCACAUAUUGACAGAAGCAUAUUUCUCAUAAGCUACCAAAAGCUAUUGAGACAAAGUAGGUGAAAUUUGUCAUGGGCAUCUUUUAAUACAAAUUAUACUAACAAAUCUAUGGCUAUAUGUAAAGGUAAAGUAAUAAAGAAAGUCAAAAACAAAUAUAUCAAUGGAAUCUGGGUUUCAGAAAUAAAUGGUGAGUGUUUUCUUCUCAUAUCGCCUCAAAUUGUACAAUAAAACAAGAGACAACUUCCUUGACAUUUCACAAGCUGCGGUCCUAGAAGCACUGAAAGCAGCAAAAGGACUAGAUGGGAAAAUUUGAAAUCAUGACAUGCUAAAUCAACGGAAACUGGGUUUCAAAAAUAGAUAUUUUGUGACAGAGUUUUGCAGAUUUCAUGAUUCUUAAAUCACAGACAAGCAUGAAAAAUCUUUCUAACUCUGCUAAAGCAUUUUACCUGGUAAAAACCUCAUUCUUUGCAAGCGAAGUCGAGCUUGGCUAACUCAGAAUCCAUUGAUUCUUCAGAAAGCAAGCUCUGCAUGUCAAUAAUUGGUAUCUGUGAAAUCAAAGUAUCAUCAGAAUUGAGUGGUGAAUCUUCGUCCGGACGUAUGUAUCUAGGAGGGACAACUAACAUAGGAUUCUUGACCAACUCUUGAACACAAGGAACAAGCAGAGAACCUCCAAUCUUGGCCAUCUUUUGUUCCACAAAUCCUCUUAAGAUUGCUACAGCUUUGUAUUGGUUUUGGAACAAGAGUGCAGGGUGCAGACAAUCGCAAGAGUUGAAAACAAUUAUUUUCUAACAAAUCAGCAUCCUCCACCUAACCGCUCAUGAUAUAUUUUUAUGCAAAUGACUGAUCUGGAUUAUUUUAAGGGGACCAUUCAACAGCAUGGUAAAAUAUGGGCAGGAAAUAGACCAUCAUUGAUAAUCACAACUAACAAAUCAGCUAGUCGAUUAAUUAUUAGUAAUUCCCAUAUUACCUUAUACAUUAAUAGUACUAACGGACGAGCCCUCACCUCGUUCACCUUUUGACUCCGAAUCAUCCUGUUCGUAUGCUUCUUACAUGGUCUGAAGGAAAAAUGAAAAUUCUAGAAAUAUUUUUCUUAUUGAAUUCAGCAGCGGAGUAAUCGAAUAUUGGAUUAUGUUAAUGGUCAAAAGAAAUCGCAAGUGGAAAUCCUUAUCUAAUCACAAUAUAAAUGCCCUUUUUAUGGAUUGUUCAAUGUUCUUAAUUUUAAUCUUCACGAAGAAGAGAAGAAGUUGAUUUAGCAAUUUUUACGUCUUUCUUGUUCUUAUUAUUAGAGAGAUUUUAUUCAAAGUGGAAGAAGUUAAUUUAAACUCAACUUCCCUCUCAAUUUCCAUAAACUGUACAUGUAACUACAUGGUAGUUACCAUGUGCGGGUCGGAUUGGCUCGGCCCAUCAUGGGUGAUCCACCCAUCCCAUAUCUCCCAUUCGUACAUGAUGGGAUGACAUCGAAACAGCAGAGCAGUGAACAUAUAAAUAAUGAACAACCACAUAUCUUUAAUCAUACAGGUAGAUAUAUCAUGUGACCAUGAACAUAUCUAAAAAUCCAUUUGGUGAGUCAAAAACAUAUCUCGAUUGCUAACUCAGGCAAAAGAUGUCUCAAUUGCAAUCGUAUGCAAGAGAAUUUAAAAAUAUGUUCAUUGUAUCCUAGAUUUAAUUUAUUUUAAUACUCAAGCAUACUAAAUCCCAUUAGUAUGCUAAAAUUGCACAAUCUCUUUAUGUAUUCACAAUUGUAAUAUCCCAAAGAUAUUAUACAAUUGGUCGACCAGUGAAUCACAUAAAAGAAAAAUUAAAUCUUUUUAUCACACUCAUGUUCAUCAAUUCAGAAUAGUCGCUUUCCUAGUCAUGUUUCAUAGACCGAAUAAUGUAAAAGGUCAUAGAUAACAUACUAAAGUAGCAGACAUCACUCUGAGAUCUCAAAAAUAUAGUUAAUAGUCAUAAGGAUAUCGGGAUUGACUUAUAAAAAGUUAUAUAGAACUUACACAAUGAGAAAGAUGGAAGAUUAUUUCAUUUUCCAUUUUGGUUACCAAGCACGCGUGGUAUGAUACACGUGUUACAGUAAAUUUUCCAUUUCAGGACUAUAGAUCUUAGUCUAGUCACUCUUUUAGAAUGAACGCUCUCCUUUAGCGUAAAACGUAAGAUCUCACAUCUGGCUUCAAUCAAGUCUCCAUGAUGGUGGGGUAUAUCAUAGUCAGUCUAUAAUAUGGGCAGGAAAUAGACCAUCAUUGAUAAUCAAGUCGAAAAAUCGUGUGAGACCUCUUGAUUCUAGUCAAGGUAAAAAAACUUGUAGAAUAACGCUUUUUAUUUGGCUCUCAAACAAAAACAUGGUUUUAUUAUUCUACUUGUCUCAUCUCAGCUUGCUCCUAAAGCAAUUGAGGUGACCGCUUGUGUAAGAAAACUAGUCUGGACCUGACGACAUACUCUUAUAUAUGUGUAAUUGUGUCUUUCAUGGAAUAAAUUGAAAUAAGAGAUACUAUUACAUUUUCAAACAACUUAUGUAAUGAAGAUGUUUAUAACAAAUAAGUGCAUCUUAAUAAUAGUAAUUUAUAAUCUAUGUAGCCCUAAUGAUUUAGCAUGAGAGGCGAAUACAUCCCUUAUUACAGCUUUGGUAAGUGGAUCAGUUAUCAUGCUAUGUGUAGAUAUAUAUUGUAUGGCUACUGAUAACUCUAUGAAAUGAGAGUUAUCAUGGCACUUUUAAGCUUAAAUCAAUACUAAUUAGAAAGUAAAUUAUGUGUUUCUAUUGCAUUUUUGUUACAUUUUGCAUAAAUAAUCAUUUUAGUCAGUCUUAAUAAGUUUUGCUUGAUUUAAAGUAAUUUGUGCUCAAAUUGUGUGAAUAAUUGUAGGUUUCCAGAAGUUUAUAAUUCAUGGAAGGAAUGCUAUGCAAUAGGCUUGCAAAAAUAAGGAAGAACAUGGCUAUAAAAGAAUUGAAACAAAUCUGGAACAGUACAGUUGCUGUAGCAACCAUUGCUUUAGCCAUUGCUGUAGCAAUCUUGGAACAACGACGAAGAAAAUUCCGUGCGGGAUACUUGCAGAAUUGCAAUCUGUAGUUUCCUAAUCUGACUUAUGCGCGCUUUAGGCUUCCGUUUACCCUAAUUUUCAACUAUAAAAGAAGCACACAUCAUAAGGAUUAAAGAGAGCCGUCACCCAAGGAGAAAAACAAAAAGAAACAAAAGAAAAACAAGAUUCAAGAGAGAGAUUAAAGGCUGCACAAGAGGAGAAUUUGCAUAAAUCAAUUGAGAGCUCAAUCCUUCUUAUUCUUCUCUUGUUUUCUUGUUUUCUAUUUAUUUAUGGGAAUGUGUUUCAUUGUUGAAGCUUUGUUCUUUAUUUUUCUUUUACAAACCAUGAACUAAAUUUAUUUGUGGUUGAGUGAUAAACAAUCUUGAUGGUUUAUUGACUGAAUAUAUGUGUUGCUACAUGUUUACUGUAGCAGUUUGUUUUGAUAGUACAAGUUAGGAGAGAGUAGCAAAAUGGUCUAUCUUAGUGGAACAUAUCAGAACAAUACGUGAUCUUAAAUUGAACUUCCCGGAUUGAGUUUUACUUGAGUCCCAAAAGGGCCAUGCUUGAUUUAAGAUUAGUGAUGAACUAGACAUAGGGAUUCACCUUGUAGGGUAAAUAGAACCUAAGCGUGUAAUGCUAUAUCUUAUGUUGGCAUAACAAUUGAUCACUGUUAGGUUGCAUAUAGAUAUAAAAUAUCCAACAUGCGACGGCUGAGGAUACAUAAGGAUUCUGUCCAGUGCUAUAGCAGAUGCUGCAGCAACCAAGCCAAACAUUAGAAAAAUAGUCAAUACCAUUAAGAGAGUUUAUUCACUCAGCUACUAUAUACUCCCAUUAGUUUUAUCCUUGAGUUUGACGUGAUAAUUUACUUUGUUGCAUUUUAUUUAUUGUGUUUUUAUUUUAAUUAGUACAUUAGUUUCAUUAAUUGUUUAUUUUAUUUUAGCACAAAAUCUGCACUGUUAAGAUUGCUGUAGCAAAUCUGAUAACAUCAAUCCCUGUGGAGACGAUCUUGAAUACUCAUUAUUUUAUUACUUGUUGUGUAUACUUGCACAUUGACACCAAUAACAUUAGUAUUUAUACACCAACAAGUUUUUGGUGCCGUUGCCGGGGAUUGAUUGUUAAUUGUGAUUUGUGAAAUUAGUUUUAACAGUGCUAAUUUUUUAUUUUAUUUUAAUUUGUUUAUUUUGUUGAAAUAAGUGAUCUAGCAACCCUCGCAUGCGCAAAUAUAAAUCUAUUGACUUCUAGUUUGAUCCAGAAAUUGAAAGAACUGCAAGGAGAUUGAGAAGAGAGCAUCGGGAAUUACAAGCUGCUGUAGCAAUGGAUGAUUUGCAAAAUUUGAGAAACUUGAACUGUAAAGAGGGGAUACAACCAGUCAAUGUACAUGAAGGUCUGAAUGGACAAUGUGUUCAAAGGCAACCAGGGAACAACAACAUUAUUCACAUGGCGAACGAUAGAGAUAGAGCCAUUCGAGACUACGCAGUGUUGACUCCUCAGGCCAUACAUUCAAGAAUAGUUAGACCCGACAUUCAAGCUGACAAUUUUGAACUCAAACCCGUGAUGUUUCAGAUGCUUCAAACAGUGGGGCAAUUUAAUGGUGUGCCAUCCGAAGAUCCUCAUCUACACCUUAAGUUAUUUUUGGAAGUAAGUAAUCCUUUCAAGAUUGCUGGAGCAUCGUAAGAAGCAUUGAGACUCAGACUUUUUCCGUUUUUUUUAGAGAUCGAGCAAGAGCAUGGUUGAAUUCUCUACCACCAGAUUCUAUCACUACAUGGAAUGAUUUGGCUGACAAAUUUUUUAUGAAAUACCUCCCGCUAACCAAGAAUGCAAAGUUGAGGAACGAGAUCACGUAUUUCCAUCAACUUGAAGAUGAAAGCUUGUGUGAUGCAUGGGAGAGAUUUAAAGAGUUACUAGAAAAUAUCCUCAUCAUGGUAUUCCUUGCUGCAUACAGUUGGAAACUUUCUAUAAUGGUCUCAACCCAAGCACUAGAUUGAUGGUGGACGCUUCAGUAAAUGGGGCAUUGUUAUCUAAGUCUUACAAUGAGGCUUAUGAAAUUUUGGAGAGGAUAGCCAACAAUAACUAUCAGUGGCCAUCAACCAGACAAGUUGCAGCAAGAGGAACAGCAGGAGUUCAUAACAUAGAUGCCUUGACAGCAUUGUCAGCCCAAGUAACUUCAUUAACAAAAAUGGUAAAGGCUAUGACUACUGCUCCAGCAACUGUUAACCAAAUAUCUUAUAUGUCUUGCGUUUAUUGUAGAGAAUGGCAUUUAUUUGACAAUUGUCCUGGUAAUCCAGCUUCGGUUAACUAUAUGGGCAGCUUCAAUAGACAGAACUAGGACAAUCCAUAUUCAAACACUCACAACCUUGGAUGGAGACAGCACACAAAAUUUUCAUGGAGUUAUUAGAACCAGACUGCUGCAGCACCUAGUGGACAGAACAGACCUGCUCAACCACCUGGAUUUUAUCAGCAAAAUCAAGAGCAAAGAAGCAUCAACAAUGAUCAAUUCAGCUCCCUUGAAGGUUUGAUUAAGGAUUAUAUUAUGAGGAAUGAAGCAGUUGUCCAAAGUCAUACUGUAUCGUUGAGAAACAUGGAAAAUCAAAUUGGACAGCUUGCUACAGCAUUGAGCAACAGACCUCAAGGUAGUUUACCCAGUAAUACAGAGAACCCAAGAAGAGAAGGGAAAGAGCACUGCAAAGUGAUUAACUUAAGAUCUGGAAAGGAUGUUUAUAGUCCCGUUGGUGUACCAAAAAGAAGAAUUGAGUCCACCCAAGGCCAAGAAGACACUCAAGUAGAGAAAGAGUCACAAUCUUCCACUUUUCAGAAUGCAAAUCAAUACAGUUCUGCUACAACAUCUGCAGAAAGUUAUGAUCCAACACCUAGUAGUGAGGAAGCUACAACACCAACAGCAACAGACCUGAGUAGAGCAAAAGAGAAGCAGUCUGCACAACCUACUGCAGUACAAUAGUUUAGACACCCACCACCCUUCCCUCAAAGAUUUCAGAAGCAACAACAAGACAAGCAGUUCAAUAAAAUCUUAGGAGUGCUGAAACAACUACAUAUCAAUAUCCCUUUUGUGGAAGCUCUAGAACAAAUGCCAAAUUAUGCGAAAUUUUUGAAGGAUAUCUUGACAAAGAAAAGAAGAUUUGGAGAAUUUGAGACAGUUGCUCUAACACAAGAGUGCAGCCGAAUGCUUCAGAGUAAGAUACCGCAAAAGAUGAAGGAUCCAGGAAGCUUCACAAUCCCUUGCUCCAUAGGCACUAAAUACUGUGGCAAAGCACUUUGUGAUUUGGGGGCUAACAUCAAUCUCAUGCCUUUAUCAGUGUUUAAGCAAUUGGGAGUUGGUGAAUGUAGACCAACAACAGUGACUUUACAACUUGUUGACAGGUCUCAUGCAUAUCGAGAAGGGAAGAUUGAAAAUGUGUUGGUGAAGGUGGAUAAAUUUAUUUUUCUAGUGGAUUUCAUUGUGCUAGACUUUGAGGCAGACAAAGAAGUGCCAAUCAUUCUAGGGAGACCUUUCUUAGCCACGGGAAAGACUUUAAUUGAUGUUCAAAAAGGAGAAUUAACCAUGAGGGUGAAUGAACAGCAAGUGACAUUCAAUGUGCUGGAUGCUAUGAAGAGUCCCGAUGAGAUUGAAUAUUGUGAUUUUAUCAGUGUUGUGGACUUUGUUGUAGCAGAGAGAUUACACAGUUGCUGCAGUAAGGAAGAAAUCAAUGUUGUGACAUUUGAAGAACUUGAUGAUGAAGAUCAUGGAGCAGCUAACAUAGCAUGGUCAGGAGAGAAGCAACCCCUCAUAAUUGACGAGCAAAUCCAGCAAAUGGAACUCACGCCAGACCAACAAGAAUUCAAGGUUAAUGGGCCAAGAGUGAAGCACUAUAUGAGAGAUGAUGUGAACAGCCUAAAGACGAAUAUGUUCUUGAAUGAUCCAGGAUGAGCAAACAAGAAAGGUCAGACUAAAAGACCUAAAAUCAAGCGCUAAUUGGGAGGCAACCCAAUAAGGGAAGUUGUUUUAAGUUUUUAUGGCAUUGAAUUUAGCUUUUAAAUUAUUUAAUUUGUCUUUUUAUUAUUUUAAGUAUGCAUUUAAUUUUUUAUGUCUUUAUGUUACAUUGCAGCAAGUAAACAAAAUGUGGGCAAAAAGAGCAGGAGGGAAUUGCUGCCGCAUCACUUACAGCAUGACAUAUAACAGAAGAUUCUCAAACAACAGAGGCAUUUCUUGCUUUUGCAGCAGCAAAUGGAUUGAUCAGAUUUUUAUGAUAAGGAGUGUUUGAGAAGUAUAUCAAAGAAAAAGUGACCCUUUACAGCCUAUGCUAUAGCAAUGCUUCCAGCAACAGGGGAGUACCAUUACCCACUAGUUUAUUUUACUUCUUUCUGUAAAACUUUUCUUUAAUUUAGUUUUAAUUUUCUAAUUCAUUCUGCAUGUCUUUUUAUUUAGUGUAUGCAUGUCUGGUUUAUGUGGUUUUGUUUUGUGUGCUUGUGAGGACACAACACCACUCAAGUUUGGGGGGGUUGUGUUUUUUAGUGCAUGUGCUUGUGUUGUGUGAAGCUCUGUUAUCUAAUAUUUGUGUAUGGAUUUGAAAACCUAAUGAAGAUAAAUUGAGUGUUAUUCAGUAUUUAUGAGAAAGCCAAGUAGAGAUAGUUAUAGAUAAAGGUUGAACUUCUGUCCCAACACUUAGACUUUGGUUGAGUUUUAUGAGAAUGCUGUAGUAGAACCAGGAAAAAAAAAGAGUAGAAAAUAUCUCAAGUUUGGGGGAAAAUUUUUGUUGGACUGUGCCUGUUAUGAAAUAAAUUCUGCUCCAAUGGUUUAAGUUGCUGAGUAACCAGGGUUGAGUAUGCACCCUAUAUGCAAACUUGAGUCCAAAGGCAACACGAGCUACGAGCAGUGCUGCAGCAAAAGCAAAAAAAAAAAAGAAGAAAAGCAAAAAAAAAUGAUGAUAAAGAGGUCCGCUACCUAGGAUACUGAGUAACCUGGUCUGUUCAUGAGUCCCAUGUUCAGCCUUGAGUCAAAGGUGUCCAAAGGUAUGACCUAGAUAUAACAUCCCAAAUGCGUUGCUGUAGCAACUCCGACAUGUACUUUGAAUGAGUAAUUGGGUGUCGUCAUUACAAGUGAUAGGCAUUCACAUGAAAGCUCAAUGUUGCAUUGAAAGGUUUAACUGGAAAAAACAAGUAUUAUUAUUGUAGCAUAGUUUGAGUUUAUUUGUGAAUUCUACUCCCCUAUAUGUGAAUAUCUUUGGUUCUAUCUAUGAAUUAUAUGUCUAUGUAAUGUUGUAGCACCUCUGGAAUUUGAUCAAAGUGGCACACACACACUCUGGACAGAAUAAAGCCUAAGUCUAGAACUAGAUUGCUAUGGCUAUUUUGCAUGAUUAAGAGUGUGAUCUGAGGGUGGAAGAAUCCUUGCAAAUCUGAUGACAGAGCUAAGUUAUUUGUUGCAUGAUUGUGUGAUUGAAGUGUUAGCAUUAUUGUCAUUACUUGAGGACAAGUAAGGGUUUAAGUUUAAGGGUGUGAUAACUCUAUGAAAUGAAAGUUAUCAUGGCACUUUUAGGCUUAAAUCAAUACUACUUAGAGAGUAAAUUAUGUGUUUCUAUUGCAUUUUUGUUACAUUUUGCAUAAAUAAUCAUUUUAGUCAGUCUUAAUAAGUUUUGCUCGAUUUAAAGUAAUUUGUGCUCAAAUUGUGUGAAUAAUUGUAGGUUUCUAGAAGCUUAUAAUUCAUGAAAGGAAUGCUAUGCAAUAGGCUUGCAAAAAUAAGGAAGAGCAUGGCUAUAAAAGAAUUGAAACAAAUUUGGAACAGUACAGUUGCUGUAGCAACCAUUACUAUAGCCAUUGCUAUAGCAAUCCUGGAACAACGACGGAGAAAAUUCCGCGCGGGAUACUUGCAGAAUUGCGAUCUGCAGUUUCCUAAUCUGACUUAUGCGCGCCCUGGGCUUCCGUUUACCCUAAUUUUUAACUAUAAAAGAAGCACACAUCAUAAGGAUUAAAGAGAGCCGUCACCCAAGGAGGAAAACAAAAAGAAAUAAAAGAAAAACAAGAUUCAAGAGAGAGAUUAAGGGCUGCACAAGAGGAGAAUUUGCAUAAAUCAAUUGGGAGCUCAAUCCUUCUUAUUCUUCUCUUAUUUUCUCAUUUUCUAUUUAUUUAUGGGGAUGUGUUUCAUGGCUGAAACUUUGUUCUUUAUUUUUCUUUUACAAACCAUGAACUAAAUUUAUUUGUGGUUGAGUGAUAAACAAUCUUGAUGGUUUAUUGACUGAAUAUAUGUGUUGCUGCAUGUUUGUUGUAGUAGUUUAUUUUUAUAGUAUUUAUUUUAUUCAUUAUUUCGGUUGAUCACCCAUUUAAUAAUACAAGUUAGGAGAGAGCAGCAAAAUGGCCUAUCUUAGUGGAACAUAUUAGAACAAUACUUGAUCUUAAAUUCAGUUUCCCGAAUUGAGUUUUACUUGAGUCCCAAAAGGGCCAUGCUUAAUUUAAUAUUAGUGAUGAAAUAGACAUAGGGAUUCACCUUGUAGGAUAAAUAGAACCUAAGCGUGUAAUGCUAUAUCUUAUGUUGGCAUAACAAUUGAUCACUGUUAGGUUGCAUAUAGAUAUAAGAUAUCCAACAUGCGACGGCUGAGGAUACAUAAGGAUUCUGCCCAGUGCUAUAGCAGAUGCUGCAGCAACCGAGCCAAACAUUAGAAAAAUAGUCAAUACCAUUAAGAGAGUUUAUUCACUCAACUACUAUAUACUCCCAUUAGUUUUAUCCUUGAGUUUGACGUGAUAAUUUACUUUAUUGCAUUUUAUUUAUUGUGUUUUUAUUUUAAUUAGUACAUUAGUUUCAGUAAUUGUUUAUUUUAUUUUAGCACAAAACCUGCACUGUUAAGAUUGCUAUAGCAAAUUUGAUAACAUCAAUCCCUGUGGAGACGAUCUUGAAUACUCAUCAUUUUAUUACUUGUUGUGUACACUUGCACAUUGACACCAAUAGCAUUAGUAUUUAUACACCAACAACUACUUCUUUCUUUGCCAAAAUAUCUCUUACAAAAUUGUAUUUAGUCUCAAUGUGUUUCGAUUUGGUAUGGUAUUUAGCAUUAUUAGAGAAAUGGAUAGUAGCUUGAUUGUCACAAUAGAUAGUCACUAGAUUAUCAUUGAUAAUAUUAGUCUCUAAGUUCUCUAUAAAUCUCUUAAGUCACAUAACUUUUUGCACUGUUGCAGAACAUGCAAUAUAUUCGGCUUCCACCGUUGAUAAAGUCGUGCAUGUUUGCUUCUUGCUACUCCAUGUAAUUGUUCCUCUAUUUAGCAGGAAUACAUAUUUUGAAGCUGAUUUACGCUAAUCCAGAUCACCACCCUAGUCGGUGUCUGAAUAUCCAACAAGCCGCAAACGACCUCCUUGAUAGCAUAAACAAUAAUUUGCAGUGCAUUUGAGAUAUGCUAAAAUCCUUUUAACAGUACUCCAAUGCUUCUGACCAGGAUUAGACUGGUAUCUACCUACUAGUCCUACAACAUAACUAAUAUCAGGCAUUGUACACAUUAUGACACACUUAAGACUUCCAAUGGCAUUUGCAAAAGGAACUCUAAUCAUUUUUUCUUUUUCUUGAGGAGUCUUGGGACACAUAUCGAGACUAAGAGAUUGUCCUUUAGCUAUAGGGGUAUCCUUGUGCUUACAAUCAGCCACAUUGAAUCUUUCAAUGAUCUUCUUAAUGUAAGACUCUUGUGACAGAGCCAUAAUUUUCCUUGAACGAUCCUUAAAAAUUUUGACCCAUAAGAUAUAAGUUGCUUCGCCGAUAUCUUUCUUGUCAAAAUUUGAAUGUAGCCAAUCUUUAAUAAUUUUCACAAACUCUUUACUAUUUGCUGCCAAUAAUAUAUCGUCCAUAUACAAAGUCAAUAUCGUAAAAGCGUCUUUAUGUCUCUUAAUGUACACACAAUGGUCUUCCUUAACCAUCCUAAAGCUAAGAAACUAUAGCUUGAUAGAAUUUAAGGUUCUAUUACAAGUGGGCAUAUUUUAACUAAACCUAUCCAAACCGAUCCCGACCAUUUGGAUCGGUUUCAUUAGUAAAAAAACUAGUUUUGGUUUAUUAGAUUGCAAACCGACAUCACUCGAUUUGGAUUUCAGCAAAUCGAUCCAAUCCAGAAAAUUUAAAAAGCUUUAAGACAUAUGAUGUGUCAAUUUAUUAUUGGAUUAUUAACAGAAGAAAUGUACACUUUCAUACACAAUAGCACACUUCUUAUUAUAAAAACAAAAACACAAAAACCUAAUUGUCCAACACUCACAGCUGCCUUCACCUCCAGUGCCUCCUAUCAUUCUCAACUCUCUCAAUCUCAAUCGCUCAUUCUCAAGUCUCAGAGUCAUAAUUUUAAAAAUCGAAACAAAAGGGCAUGUUUUGAUUUUAUUUUUCUUGCUACAAUUUUAUUUUAUUUUAGUCAAAAGUUAAAGUGGAUUUUGGUAUAAUUGAUGAUAAUUUAUUUGAUUAAUUGAUUCCAUAGCUAUUUUUUUUUUAAUCUUUAUUAAUUAAAGAAGCUCUCAACAUGGAAGAUAAUUCCAAUGUGAAUAAUAUCAUAGAAAAUGGAGAAAUAGUGAUGGAUGAUUUUCUAGAACCUAAAAGUAAGAAAUCUAGAACAUGGGGUGGUCGUCUUCAUGACAGUGAAAGGGGUUCAAAAGUUUGGCCUCAUUAUAUCAAAGAUUAAGUGAAUAGGACAUGUAAGUGCAAAUAUUGUGGGAAGUAGUAUAAGUGUGAUAGUAAGUUUAAUGAGACUUUUAAUUUGUGGACUCACUUAAGAGAACAAUGUGAAAAAUAUUGGGCUACUUUAGAUUAUGUGACUCAAGUUAAACUAGCUCGCUUCCGUGAUAAGAAAAAAAAGUCUAAUAUGGCAAGUGGUAGUGGCACUAGGAAUAUUGUGUAUGGUAUUGGGUUGGGGCUUGCUGGAAAGUUUGAUCAUGAGGAUUGUAGGAAGAAUGUGGCAAUAUAUUUUAUUCUUAAUGAGGUUUCAUUUAGGAAGGUAGAGUCUUAUGGGUUUCAUCUUUUGUGCGAUAAACUUUGUCCUAGAUUUGGCCCACCUUCUAGGGGAACACUUGUUAGAGAUAUAUAUCAACUGUAUUUAGUUGAGAAUGCAGCAUUAAAAAAUAUUUUUAUUGCAAAUAAGUAUAGAGUUUCUAUUACCACAAACAUUUGGACUUUCAUACAAAAUUUUAAUUAUAUGUUGUGACAACCCAUUGGGUUGAUCAUAAUUGGAAAUUGCAUAAGAAAAUUUUGAAUUUUUUUUCCAAAUAACAAGCCACAAAGGGGACUUAAUCGGCAACCUUAUUGAAAAAUGCUUACUUGAUUGAGGUAUAGAAAAAGUGAUGAUUGUUAUAGUUGAUAAUGUGAGUUCUAAUGAUGUUGCUAUCAAUUAUUUGAAAAAAAAAAUUGAAAAAUUGGAAGGGUGAUGCAAUGAUUUUAGAUGGAGAUUAUUCACAUUUGUGGUGUUGUGCCCAUAUUGUUAAUAUAAUUGUGAUUGAAGGGCUGAAAGAGAUGCAUGACUCAAUUUCUAGCAUUUGCAAUGCAAUUAUAUAUGUGAGGUCUUUUGGUUUGAGGUUGCAUGUUGUAGGUUUUCUAAUGCUAUUGAUGUCAAUGUGCAAGUGUACACAAUAAGUAAUAUAAUGAUGAGAAUUCAAGAUUGUCUCCAUAUGUUGUUAUAGGAAUUGCUACAGCAAUUUUAUUAGUACAAUUUUUUUCCUAAACAAGAAUUAAAACAAAUUAUUAAACUAAUGAAAUAAUAAAAAUAAAAACGCAAUAAGAAAAAUGCAAUAAAGUAAAAUACCACAGCAAAUACAAGGAUGUUCCCAAGGGGAAUGGAGUAGUUGAGCGAUUAAACUCACUUAAUGGUUUUGACUAUUUUUCUAAUGUUGGCUCGAUUGCUAUAGCAUUUGCUACAGCACUGGGCGGAAUCCUUAUGUAUCCUCAGCUGUCGCAUGUUGGAUAGCUUAUAUCUAAAUGCAACUUAACAGUGACCAAUUGUUAUGCUAACGUCAGAUAUAGCAUUACACAUUUUAAAUUCUAAUUACUCUACAAGAUGAAUCCCUAUAUCUAGUUCAUCACUAAUUUUAUAUUAAGCAUGACCCUUUUCAAAUCAAGUUAAACCCAACUCAGGAAACUCAAUCUAAAACCAAGUAUUGCUUUGAUAUGUUCCACUAAGACAAGUCUUUUUUAAGCUCUUUCUUAACUAGUAUCACUAAAUGGGUGGUCAACCGAAAUAGUAAAUUGAAAUAAGUAUUAUCAAAACAACGUGCUAUAGCAAAUAUGCAACAACACAGAAUAUUAGUCAAUUAACCAUCAAGUUUGUUCAUUACUCAACCACAAGUAAAUUUAGUUCAUAAUUUUUGAUAAAACAAGAAGUAAAAUAGUUUCAGCCAUCAAACAAUUCAUCAUAACGAGAUAGAAACAAGAGAACAAAAAAUAAGAGUGAGAUCCGCUUGAUGUUCUUCUCGAAUUCCUUAGUUGCAGCCCCCAAUUCUCUCUCUUGAUCUUUGUUUUUUCUUGUGUUGUUUAUCUAUUUUUCUUCUCCAAUGACGACUCCCUUUUCUUUGCGUGUGUGCUCCUUUUAUAGCUCAGAAUUAGGGCAACUGGAAGCCUAGGACGUGCAUCUUCUAAUUUAGAAAACUCCAGACUGCAAACUUCAAAGUAUCUCGCGCGAAAUCUUCUCUGUCAAUGCUCUAGAAUUGCUAUAACAACGAUGCUACAACAACAGUGCUACAACAAUGGCUUCAGCAUCUGCAUUGUUCCAGACUUGUUUCAAUUCUUCUCUAAUUAAGUUCUUUCCUUAUCUUUACAAGCCUAUUGCAACCGUAUUCCUUUCUUGAAAUUUGAGCUUUCGGUCACCUAUAAUUAUGCAUAUGAUUUAAGUACACAAUUUAUUCUGAAUCAAACAAAACUUAUUAAAAGUAAACUAAAAUGGAUGUUUAUCCAAAACAUUACUAAAAUGCAACAAAAAUAUGUCAUUUACUCUCUAAGUAAUCAUGAUUUAAGUCUCAAAGUGUCAUGAUAACUCUCAUUUCAUAGAGUUAUCAUUAUAAAUUUAAAUCAUGUGUUGAGAGAGAGAAAUUUGAAUAUAAAGGGCUUUUAGCAUAUGAUGUGCCCACUAGAUGGAAUUAUAUCUACACUAUGUUGUCCAGAGCUAUAAACUUUCAGAAAGCUUUUGAAAGUCUGGAAGAAGAGGAAUAUGAUGGACCAAAGCUUUUUUCAAUGAGAGGAAAGCAGAACAUAUCAGGCCACCCACAGCUGAAGAUUGGAAAAUGCUGCAAUAUUUAUCAAGUUUUUGAAAUUUGUGAAUAAUGUUACAAUUGAUUACAAUGCUUUAUUAUCUGUCAUGUCUAACUUGUAUUUUCAUCAUCUUUGCACCAUUCAAACCUAGUUGCAUUCAUUUAUUGAAAAAAAGGAGGUGCUUCUUAGUAAAAGGGCAGAAAAAAUGAAAAUAAAGUAUGAAAAGUAUUGGGGUUCUGUGGACACUAUAUAUCAGCUGUUUAUCAUUGUUGUGGUACUUGAUCUAAGGUAAAAAUCUGUUAUUUCAUUUGAUUUUUUAUUUUUUAUGAUAAAAUCAAUUGUGAUAAUUAUUUACUCCAAUUCAUUUCAUAUCUAAGGUACAAAUUGGAUUAUGUGUCAUUUUGCUUUGAAAAUUUGCAUAAUCCUGAGAAAGCGAAAGAAAUUACAUCAAACAUUAAGAAGCUACUUUUAAAGGUGUAUUCUUUGAAAUACUAACUAGGCAACCCAAGAGGGGGGUGAAUUGGGAUUUUAAAAAUUAAGCUAAGCAAACCACACAACAAUCUAAUCUAAUGCCUUAAUAAAUUCGAAAACAAUAAAUUCAAUGAAAGCACAAUAAUAAAUGAGCAAGGGAAGAGAAAGAAAACUCAAGGAUUUUUACGUGGUUCGGCAAUCCCCGCCUACGUCCACGCCUCCAAGCACACCGGGCUUGAGGAUUUCACUAUCCGAGUCUUUCCAAGGCUUCAAAUGUUUACAAUUGACUUCAAGGUGUCAAUGAACCUUUACAACAAAAUAUUAUCUCUCCAAUCUCUUCACCCCAAGUGUUUCUCACACUUGUACACUCACAAUUUGAUGAGAAAUGAAAAUUACAAUAAUGAAACUCUCUUUAAGAGUGGAUAUACAAAUUGAAGAACAAAGAUGAUUUAAUAAAUGAUGAUUUACGAAAUUGAAGCUCAAUAUAUGUUGUGUGCACUUGUUUUUGCUUGCCAAGAUUUCCAAAAUUGAAUUGGUUUUGAGUUUAUAUAGUUUGAACUCAAAAAACUAGCCGUUAUGCACAUUUUGGUCAUAACCGGCUUACCAUUUAGGAAUCCGGUAAGCCGCUUUUAUGUUACCGUUAAGGCAAAAAUUUGAAUUUCAAAAUAUCCGGUAAGCCGCAUUUCAUAUCCGGUAAGCCACUUUUGAAAUCCGGAUUGCCGCUUGCGAAAUCCGGAUAGCCGUUUAUGCUCCAGAAGCUUACUGCCCAAAAUCUGGAUUGCCGUUUACUAUAUCCGGUAAGGCACUUGCUACAAUGAUUGCUACAGUGAACUAUUUUUUAAAAUUACUGUUUGGCCCCAAAACUUUCCAUAAUUGUAUUAUGGCCUAAAACGUUAUGAAAAUUUGCAAAUAGGUUCAAUUUUAGAAUUUCUAAGCAAUGCUUUGUUAAUCUCAAAACUUUUUGAAAUUAUGGUAUAGCCUAAAAUGCUAUGACACUUUUCAAACAAGUCUUUCUCUAAAAUUUCAAACAAUACUUGUUGAUUUCAAAGUUUUCAAAACUCUUUCAAUUAAAUCAUAAACUUGAAAAACAACUAAUUUCAUAAAAUCAUUUUUUCAUGAAAUAUAAAACCUUUAUAGUGUAAAAAUAAUGAUUUAUUUAAAAUGUAUAAAAAAUAAUUUGAGCUUAAAAGAUUAAUCAUUCUUAAUCUUGUUUGUUAUCAUCAAAAUCAACAUUAUGAAAACAUAUAUGUUAACAUUCUUAAACUUUCAAAUUAGAUUCAGUUAUAACACUAGUUACUUUAUUUUUUUUCUGUAAAAUGUAUUCAUAUUUACUUAAAUUUAUUUUCAUAGCUAUAUAAAACCUAUUGUCUUGUAGAAUCUACUUCUGGUGAUGGUAGCCAAUCUACUAAUGAUGUUUUGGCAAUUGAUGUGGGUUUAAGAAGGAAAAGUGGCAAGGUCUAUGCAUUUAUUAAUACAAAGACUCAAUAUAAGCAGUUAAAAGUGCAGAAAGAUUCCAUUGAUUUGAAAAAUGAGGUAGAAAGGUAUUUGUUCUAACCUAGCGAGGAUGAAACUGAUGAUUGGUUUGAUGUUUUGGGUUAGUGGAUUGCAAAUAGUGCAAGGUUUGGGACUUUGUCACAAAUUGCAAAGGAUGUGUUAGCAAUUCCUGUAUCUACUGUGGCUUCUGAAUCUACUUUUAAUACUGGAGGUCGUGUAGUCUAUGCAUUUCGAAGUUCAUUAACCCCUACAAUGGUUGAGACUUUGAUAUAUAGUCAACAAUGGCUUAAAGCAUCUGGUAUGGAUGAAAAAUAUAUUAGGAAGUUUGAUGUAGAAGUAUUAGCAUCAUACUUUAGUGAUUUGGAAUUAUGUACGUCUGUGGAGCAAGGUACCUAUGUUUUACAUAUAGUAUAAUUAUAUUAUUUUCUAAGUUAAGCAAUCUAACCAAUCAUUUUGUCAUUUUAUGCAGAUUUUGACAAAUCAAAAGUAAUUGGGCCAUAAGUUUUGAUGGACAAGAUGCACGAUAUUUUGAUUGUCAAAUGUUGUUCAAGUUUAUUUUAAUUUUGUGAGUUUGUUUUGAAUGAACAGGUUGAGAACUUCUUUAUUAUGAUGUAUUCUGUUAUGAACUUGUAUGGAUGUAUCUUUGAAUUGUUAUGUAGAUAUGAAUAAUAUAAAAGAGAUAUCAAUUUAGAUUAUGGACACAAAAAAUAACAAAUAAUUUAGGUACAACAAUAUAAAAGAGGUGGGCUUUUAGCUAAUAAUCUCAAACCAAGAAAAAAACCAAUCCAGUCGGUUUGGUUUAAAAAAAUUUUCGGUCGAUAUCAGUUUAGAUCGGUUUGAUAAUUUGUCUCAAAUUGAUCCAAACCAAAUUUGCCUACCUCUCAGUUCCAUUAUCUAGAGAAAUGCAAUAUUUACAUCCAUCUGAUGUAAUUCAAGGUCUAGAUGUACAAUAAUGACCAAAAUUAAUUGUAUAGAAGCAAACCUUACCAUAGGAGAAAAGGUUUCUUUAUAGUUUAUUCCCUCCUUUUGGGUAUAGCCUUUAGCGACUAAUCUUACUUUGUAUCUCUCGAUUGUCCCAUCCACUUUACGUUUUAUAUGGAGAACCCAUUUAUUUCCGAUAGUUUUAUGAUUAGGCAGAAAUUCAAGCAAGUCCCAAACUUGAUUAACGUUCAUAGAUUCUAUCUCUUCUUCCAUUGUUUUCAUCUAUAAAUCCUUAGCAGACGAUGUGAGAGCUUUAUUAAAAGUAUUUGGCUCUUCACUAUCGUGUGAAGUAAUCAUAAAACGUCUCCCUCAAUCUCAAAAUGACGACAAGGAAUUGACUUACGACUACUCUUCUGAGUUGAUUCCCUAAUUCGAAUCGAAGUGUCCGAUGUUUCACUCCCACUCAGAGUAACAAUCCCCAGAGGAUUCGCACUAAUGCCAAUAUCAACAUUAGAAGUGAUAACCCCAUUUGGAUCUUCUAAUUCAUAAAAUUGAAAAUCCUUAUCCACUUCUUCAAUGCUAGAAAAUUCAUUUUCUAAAAAACUGACAUUUGUUGCAACUUUUUCUUGUAUUAUUAGUAUCAAUGUGCAAGUGUACACAAUAAGUAAUAUAAUGAUAAAUAUUCAAGAUCGUCUUCACAUGGAUUGAUGUUAUCAGAAUUGCUAAAACAAUCCUGAACAGUGCAACUUGUGUUCUAAAUUAAGACUAAAUAAUUAAUGAGACUAAAUAACUAAUUAAACUAUAAAAUGUAAUAACUAAAAAGGCAAUAAAUAAAAUUUUCAUGUCAAACACAAGAAUAAAGCCAAUGAGAAUAGAGUAGUUGAAGGAUUAAACUCUCUUAAUGGUUUUGACUGUUUCUUCUAAUCUUUGGCCUGGUUGCUACAACAUUUGUUACAGCACUGGGCAAAAUCAUAUUGUAUCCUCAACUGUCGCAUGUUGGAUGUCUUAUAUCCUUAUGCAACCUAAUAGUGACCAAUUGUUAUGGUAAUAUAAGAUAUAACAUUACACAUUUAGGUUCUAUUUACCCUACAAUGUGAAUUCGUAUGUCUAAUUCAUCACUAAUUUUGGAUUAGGCAUGGCCCUUUUGGAAUCAAGUAAAACUCAACUCAACUCAAGAAACCCAAUCUAAAACCAAGUAUUACUCUGAUAUGUUACAUUAAGAUAAGCCCUUUUGUAGCUCUUUCUUAGCUUGUAUCAUUAAAAUGAGUGGUCAGCCGAAAUAAUGAAUAUAAUUAAAUAUCAUCAAAAUAAAAUGCUAUAGCAAGCAUACAACAACACAUUUAUACAGUCAAUGGACCAUCAAGAUUAUUUAUCACUCAACCACAAAUAAAUUUAGUUUAUAAUUCGUAAAAGAAACAUGAACAAUAGAGUUUUGGUCAUCAAAUGCAUUCUCAUGAUUAAAGAAUAAACAAGAAAACAAGAGAAGACUAAGAAAGACUGAGUUCCCGAUUGAUUUCUGUAAAUUCUCCUCUGAUGCAGCCCUUAAUUUUGCUCUUGAAUUAUGUUUUUCUUUUAUUUCUUUUCGAUUUUUGUUCUUGGUUGACGGCCUCUCUCUUCCUUUGCAUGUGUGCUCUUUUUAUAGAUAAAAAUUAGGGCAACUGAAAGUCUAGGGUGUGUAUCUUCCAGAUUUGGAAACUCCAUAUCUCAAUCUUUUAAGUGCCUCACAUGAAAUCUUCUCUGUCAAUGCUCUAACAUUGCUACAACAAUGUCUGCAACAUCUGCAUUAUUCCAGACUUGUUUUAAUUCUUCUGCAGCCAUGUUCUUUCAUUCAUUUUGCAAGCUCAUUGCAACAACAUCUUUUCCUUGAAAUUCAAACUUCCAAUUACCCACACUUAUGUAUGUGAUUUAAGCACACGAUUAUUCAAACCCAAACAAAAUUUACUAGAAUUAAACUAAAAUGGCUGUUAAUGCAAAAUAUCAUUAAAAUGUAAUAAAAACACAUUAUUUACUCUCUAAGAAAUCUUGAUUUAAGUCUAAAAAUGCAAUGAUAACUUCAUUUCAUAAAGUUAUUAACAUCCCGUGAUUCCAGUUCAGUUAAAAAUCCACUUUCAUGUUCACCAAUGAACACAUAUUGUUUGGAGUGUUCUGAGUAUCUAAUAAAGAUACGCUUUUUACUUCUAGCUCCUAAUUUCCCAAACUUAUGAAUGGAGUUAUAAACAUAAGCUGCAGACCCCCAAGGUCACAAAUGAAAUAGGUCAGGUUUCCUAGCCGUCUAUAACUCAUAUGAGUAGAACUAACUGAUUUUGAAGGAACUAGGUUAAAUAUACAGGCAGCAGUUAACAAUGCAUCUCCCUAAUAUGAUAUUGGAAUAUUUGAGUGUGCCAUUAUUGACCUAACCAUUUCUAAAAAAGUUAUAUUCCUUCUUUCCGCCAUACCAUUUUGUUGCAGAGUUUCAAGAAUAGUCAACUGUCUAUUUAUUCAUUUCUCACUACACAGUUCCUUGAACUAUUUUGAAAGGUAUUCAUGUCAUCAGUCAGUCCUUAGAACUUUAACAUUAUUAUCUAUUUGAUUCUCUACCAUGUUUAGAUAUAAUCUAAAGCAAUCCAAUGCUUCUGAUUUAUAAGAAAUCAAGUAGACAUGACCGAAACUUGAAUAAUCAUCAAUGAAUGUUAUAAAAUAUGAGGCUCCAUGUUUAGCCCUUACAUUCAUUGUAUCACAGAUGUUAGAAUGGAUUAAUUGUAAUGAUUUUUCAACUCUAAUUCCUUUGUCAAAUGGUUUUCUAGUUGUUUUUUCAGCUAAACAAUUCUCACAUAUGGGCAAUUCAACCUUGGUAAGUAAACCCAAUAUGCCCUUUCUCGUAAGUCUAUUCAUUCUUUUUUGCCCUAUGUGACCUAAUCAAGCAUGCCAAGUAAUAACAUCUAUUUUAUUAUUACUUAAAGAAGUAGCAUAUGAAAAAUAAUUAUUAUCAUAACUUGAAUUAUCAGGUAUUGUAUCUAAUAUAAUAAAACCAUUAACGAAAUGCCAGUUCUAAUAAGGACUAAAUUUAAGAAAAUCUCCAAAAAAAAAUCAUAAAAGUUUAAAUUAUAUCCUAAUUCAAGAAGAACAAGAAUAGAAACCAAGUUUCAUCGAAUCUCUAGUGCAUAUAGGACAUCGUGUAAUAAAAGAAUACGUCCACCAUGCAAAGUCAAUUUGUAGGUGUCUAUUCCUUUUGCUUCAACCCUGGAGUUGUUGCCCACGUAUAUCCAUUUAGUCCCUUGACUAAUUUGGUGAUACUCUACAAACGCAUUUUGAUCACGAGCUAUAUAGUCUGUUGAUCCUGAGUCUACAGUCUACAUAGGACGAGAAUCAAUUAGGAGUACAUAACUCAUAACUAACACAAAAUUUAAUAAAGUGGAGUUGGGCUCAGUGCACUCGCGAGCAAAGUGAUCGGGCUCACUACAAUUAUAGUAUUUCAUCUUAGAUUUGUCAUUUUUCUUGUUAGUGCGUCUACCCCUUGGGCGCUUCUUAGCAUCUGAAUUCCUCUUAUUAGGAUCAGAUUUCUUACCCUUCUGGUUAUAAUUAUGACCCUUUUGUACUUGAAGCUUGAAGCUUUGUGCGAAUUUGAUUCGGUCAUAUAAACACGAUCAAAAAGCUUAGUUGCCUCAAGGCGCUUUACUUCUAAUUCUAGGUGAUGUUCUAUGUCAUUGAAAGUUCUAAUACUUUCAUUAUGAGUCAUAUUCACCAUCAUGUGCAGCCAAGAAUCAGGUAGAGAUCUUAUUACUUCCUGGACUUGUUGUUCAUCAGUCAAAAUAUGUCCAGCAGCCUUAAGUUCGCAAAUCAUGUUUGACCUCUCCCUCAGCUGCUGCCUCAUAAUAUGAUUUUGGCAAUUCCGAGAAGAAUCAAACUUGAUCAUAAGCCUUGCAAUUUAGUAGUCGAAGUGCCACUGAACUUAUCUUUUAGAGCGAGCCACAUCUGUUGAGCAGUCUCUUAUAGCCUCUUCUACUAUAGUAGCGGAGUUCAUAGCAUGUAACGAGACAUCCAAUCACAGAAUAUGGCUAAGGAAUUACGUCACAGAGUUACACAUUUUAGAUGUUAUUGAUAGACCACUUAAGUUAUUAUGUGACAAUAAGUUAGCAGUGCUAUAUUCCAAUAACAAUAGGAGCUCGACGAAGUCACAGUAUAUAAACAUCAAGUUCCUAGUUGUUAAAUAAAGAAUUCAGAGUGGAAAAUUGUCUAUAAAGCAUAAUGGUACAAAAUUCAUGAUCACGGAUUCGCUUACUAAGGGAAUACCAUCUAAAAUUUUUCAUAAGUACACCGUUCAUAUAAGUGUCGUGUCAUUAAAGGAUAUUCAUUUUUAAUGGGAUUUUGUAAAUUUCAAAUGUUCUUAUGAUAUAAACAUUUUUCGGUUUAGGGAUAUUUAAGGUUAUUUUCUGCAGAAAUAAAGUUUUGGUUUAUUCAUUCACACUAAUUUUUAUAUGAUUUGAUCUCACUAAAGUUUAAGGCGGAUCAAUUGGAAAUAGGCAUGUUAAGAUCACAUUACAUGAAAUUUCCAUCCUACACGCCCAUAUCAUGAUCUAUGUCAUUCAGUUAUAUUGGCAUAGUGAGCAUUGAUGGGUCAAGUUACGAUAGUUGUAACAAAGGUCGUUUUGAUCCUUUGUUGAUAUGAUUGAUGGACCGAAUUGACUAUAGAUACAGUUUAGUAAUGACAGUAAAGUUGAGCUCAUAUGGUUAUUUUUGCAAAGUAUAAUUAUAAGGUUACAUAUAUAGCCCAAGUGAAAGGUUGUUGGAUCUUUAAUCUAGCAUUGUUAGAUCCUUGAUCCAAUGUUGGGUUUAUAUGUGAAUAAUUAUAUGUUGUGAACUAUUAUAUAAGAUUAAGACAAAUUAAAAAUGAUCUAUUAAGGUUUUCGAUAAUUUGGGCUUUAAUGUAUCUAAUCAAUUGUGGGCCUUUAAUGUACAGAGACUUAAGACUAAUUUCUAUUUCCAUGAUGGGUUGGAAUAAGAAUACAUAAAGACAAAAGAAAAAUUUGUUUAUAUAAAUAGUUAUUGUCCGUAGGUCACACGUAUCGUUCUAUUCUCUGUUGACAUCUUAUCAUUAGAGAGAGUGCACAGAGAAGUUUAAAGGAUUCUCUAGGAGAAUCUGUUAAUUUGGAAGACAAACUACUAGACUCUAGAGACAAAUUGUGCAUUAUACUAGUCUUGAACAUGUUCAAUUCUCAAGGCAUCCAGAGGAGAUUUGCCCCUAAGCUUGCGAGCACACAAGUUCCUGAAGUAUUCUUCAACUGUCACUCUUUUAAACAAUAGAGGAUUAUUUUCAGAGACCAAAUUGGACGUAGGGUACAUUUCACCAUCAUAUAUCACUAAGUAAACUGUGCCAAUGGAAAGUCUUCCUUGUAUAGAGUUUACAAUUACACGAUGCUCAAUGCUACGGUAUGUCCCAUUGGUUACAAUCUGCCAUGUAAAAAUUAUUAAAGCACAUGAGCAGGCUCAUAUAAAUGCCAAGUUAAGUAUUUUACUAUAAUUAUUACCUCCAGUGUGUCUCCAAUGUCGACAAUGAAAGCAUUAGGGAGUGGAGCAACAGGAAUUAAUGAAAGCACACAUUAGCUAGCUCAUAUGAAUGUCAAGUUAAAAUAACUUAUCAUAAUAAUUACCUCCAACACGACUCCAAUGUUGACAACGAAAGCAUUUGGAAAAGGUGUAACAGGAAUCCACUUUCCAUCCUUCUUGAUCUGGAGACCUUCUACUUCAUUGAUUUCCAGCAGAAUGGUAAGAACAGAGUCAUCUGAAUGAGUUGUGAGGCCCACAACCUUCUCCGGCUGAGGACAUGGAGGGUAAUAGUUCAUCCCCAUUGAUUGGAAACCAUUUUCAAAGUAUUCUCUCAAUUCUUCAUCUUUGAUAUUUAGAACUUUUCCCAUUUUCAAUACCAGGUUCAUGGCCAGAGAUUUUUAACUCCACUGAAUAAAUUCCAAGAUUUCCUACAAGAAAAAAGAAGAUGCAAUUAAAAGGUUUAGUACAUGAUUGUGGUGGAUUGUUAAACAAGUUAUUAUUUAACAGUAUUCUUUCAUGUUUGGUUGUCAAAUUUUACUAAAUAUAACUGACUUGGGAUCUUUCUCUGAACAUAAUACAUUUGCAAUCAUCAAAUAACUGACUAGAGAGAGAAAAAGAGAAACCUGAGGGGUAAAGAGGGAGCUUAGGAAACAAGUGGGGUUUCCUCAGAUGAAUUGGAAGAGUUGUCAUGAAGAAAAUGUCAAUCCAAUCAACCUUUUGUUCCUCGGAUAUAACACAUGCUUGUCCAAAUCCUUCCAUAUUUGUUAGAUUUCAAUAAACUAAUAGAAUCACAUUUGCAUUAUACUCCAUCAUAAAUUUGCUUAUAGUUCUUCUCAAGCUAUCGUAAGCCUAGACAUCUGAAAGAUAUUAAAGACAAUUUAAUUUUCAAGAAUGCAGGUUUGUCUUCUCAGCUAUACAAGAAAGCAAGUUAGAUGGUCCAUAAUCGGACAAGGUCAGUUACAUCCCUCAAUUUUCAAAAAAAAAAAAAAAAAGGAGUGCUUAAACCGGCUUGGUUAAGACUAUCUAGACUCAAAUUUUGUUACAGCUUUCUUAUUGCUAACUUACAGAGUAAGAAAGCAUUGAUACAGAGUAGGCCAAAUUUGUGGCCUACUUGACCUAUAAGAAUGAAACACAAUCUAAUCUGAAUUUGAUCGACUGUACUUUUUGAUUGAGAGUAUAUAGAUUUCUUAAUUCUUGACGCCAGACUACUAUUAAUAAACCAAGCAUGUCCAAAUGAAAAAAUACAAACUUGGGUGCCUCACGACAGGUGUAGCUUAGCUGGUUGUGAAUGUAAUUCGCAAUUUGCAGAUAUCUGCGCUCGAGUAACAAUAUGGGACAAACGGUGGUAUUUACUAGAUGAGGUCUCAUCCCAAGCAAAUCCUUUAAAAGCAAAAUAAUAAUAACUUGGCAAAGGAGUUUACCUAGAAAGAAGCCCAUUCUUUGCAAGCGAAGUGGAGCCUGGACAACUCAGAAUCCAUUGACUCUUCAGAAAACAAGCUCUGCAAUACCCGUGAAUCCAAAUUAUUAUCAGAAAUUGUGGUUAAAUCUUGGCCUGGUCGUAUGUAUCUGGGAGGGAUAGCUAACAUAGGGUUCUUGGCCAACUCUUGAACACAAGGCACAGGCAGAGAACCUCCGAACUUGGCCUUCUUUUUGUUCCACAAAUUCUCUCAACAAUAAUGCUCCAGAGUUUUAUUGACAAAGCAAAUGUUGAAAAUGUAUUAUUUUCAACAAGUCAUUAUUUGCUGUGGCCUUGUGUGAGACUAAUCCACCAUUGCGGGUCUAGGGUUGGCCCAUAGAUAUUUUGUGAAUAUGACAGUUGCAGUCUGCUGUUGUGUUGCUGUCUGCUGCGAAUUAUAAAAAAGAUAGUGCAUUGCCUUCACAAACUCUUAAGAAUUUGGAUACCAUGCUAAUUUCUUUUACAUGGUCUGAUGACAACCAAUCAAAAUCUUGUAUUUUUCUCAGCAUAAUAGCUGAUCAUCAACCGUAGUUCCAAGUUCAACUUUGAGAGAGACGAUCUGAAUAUGAAAUCCAAAGUUAUAGCUUUGCAGCUUGUGUAACUAACAUCUAUUUUCAGCUAUUGAUGGCAAAAUUUUUCGUUAGUGGUAACAAGUUAUGUAUUCGUCACAAUGUGUGUUAUGGAAUGGAAUAUUUAAGACGUGGAAGGACAACAUUGUUGUUAAAAAUCAAAAACUUGUUACUAUUAACUGAAAACUAUAACGGCUGAUACAGAAACUACACUGGUUCUGUGGUAAUAUUAUCUGUAUGUAUCAUAAAAAUUUGGAAACCAAGUCAUAUAGUCCUUGAAAUCUCAUUAAAAACAAGUCAGGUAUGCAAAAAUUCUAUUUCAAAAAAGAAAGAUACUGAUCUGAUAUAAGCACCACCAUAUAUCAUCGGAAGAUUCCAGGCAUAAGUCUGCAAUUCUUAAGAUUCUUACAUGGUCUAUUCAGUAUCUCAAAUGAUAGAGCUACACAACGAUCCCAGCAUAGCAGGUUAUACCACAGUAUUCAUAGAACUUAUUUCUUAUUUUCAGUUCCACACACAAUCUCAAUAGCAAGGUCCUUCAGAGUUUUUGUACCAAACUCUUUAGUUAUCCGAAAUAAACUUAUACUAGCCUUGACCAUGUUGAAUUCUCAGGGAAU